GUCAAGUACAAAGAGCAUCGGGUGGAUGCCUUGGCACUGGGAGCCGAUGAAGGACGUGAUAAGCUGCGAUAAGCUGCGGUAAGGAGCACAUAUCCGAUAUACCCGCAGAUUUCCGAAUGGGGGAACCCACAUGCGGUAAUGCGUAUGUAUCAUUAAGUGAAUACAUAGCUUAAUGAAGGGAACGGGGUGAACUGAAACAUCUAAGUAGCCCUAGGAAGAGAAAGAAAAAUCGAUUUCCUGAGUAGCGGCGAGCGAAAGGGAAAGAGGCCAAACCAAAUUGUUUACAGUUUGGGGUUGUGGACCACCGACAUUGACGAAGUUAUGCGAGCCGAAUAGGGUUGGAAAGCUCAAGCAGAGAAGGUAAUACUCCUGUAGGCGAAGCAGAAAGCGCAUAGGUGGCACCAGAGUAGGACCGGACACGUGUAACCCGGUCUGAAGCAGGAGGGACCACCCUCCAAGCCUAAAUACUACCCAGUGACCGAUAGCGAAUAGUACCGUGAGGGAAAGGUGAAAAGAACCCCGGGAGGGGAGUGAAAUAGAAUCUGAAACCUGAUGCUUACAAGCAUAGGGAGCGCAAGUGACCUAGUACUUUUUGUAGAACGGGCCAACGAGUUAUGGUAUGUAGCGAGGUUAAGUUGCUGGAGCAACGGAGCCGUAGAGAAAUCGAGUCUGAAUAGGGCGAGAGUUACAUGCUGUAGACCCGAAACCGGGUGACCUAUCCAUGAGCAGGUUGAAGUAACCGUAAAAGGUUAUGGAGGACCGAACCUAUAUCUGUUGAAAAAGGUUAGGAUGACUUGUGGAUAGCGGUGAAAUUCCAAUCGAACUCGGAUAUAGCUGGUUCUCCUCGAAAUAGCUUUAGGGCUAGCCUCAAGGUAAAGAUACACGGGGGUAGAGCACUGACUGUUCGCGGGGCCUUCACCGGUUACCAACAACUAUCAAACUCCGAAUACCGUGGUAUCAUACUUGGGAGUCAGACUAUGAGAGAUAAGUUCCAUGGUCGAAAGGGAAACAGCCCAGAUCAACAGCUAAGGUCCCAAAGAGUAAGUUAAGUGGAAAAGGAUGUGGGAUUGCACAAACAGCUAGGAUGUUGGCUUAGAAGCAGCCAUACAUUUAAAGAGUGCGUAAUAGCUCACUAGUCGAGUGAUCCUGCGCCGAAGAUAAACGGGGCUCAAACUUACCACCGAAGCUUUGGAAUUAGUAUAACUAAUUGGUAGAGGAGCAUUCUAUACAGGUAGAAGGAGGCGCGUAAGUAAAUCUGGACGGUAUAGAAGAGAGAAUGUUGGCAUGAGUAGCGUAAGGCGGGUGAGAAUCCCGUCCGCCGAAAAUCUAAGGUUUCCUGAGGAAGGUUCGUCCUCUCAGGGUAAGUCGGGACCUAAGCCGAGAGCGAACGCUGUAGGCGAUGGAUAACAGGUUGAUAUUCCUGUACCACCAAGGAUUGUUUGAAUGAAGUGGGGACACAGAAGGAUAGAUUGAGCACGCCGUUGGUUGAGCGUGUCCAAGCAGUAAGGCUUGAAAGUAGGCAAAUCCGCUUUCUAAAAGGCUGAGCUGUGAUGGGGUGGUCGAAUGACCGGUAGCAAUCGAUUUCACGCUGUCAAGAAAAGCCGCUAAUGAGAUCCAAGGUGCCCGUACCGCAAACCGACACAGGUAGAUGAGGAGAGAAUCCUAAGGUGAGCGAGCGAACUAUUGUUAAGGAACUCGGCAAAAUAACCCCGUAACUUCGGGAGAAGGGGUGCCUGCUUCGGCAGGCCGCAGUGAAGAGGUCCAGGCAACUGUUUACCAAAAACACAGGUCUCUGCUAAAGCGAAAGCUGAUGUAUAGGGGCUGACGCCUGCCCGGUGCUGGAAGGUUAAGGGGAAGUGUUAGGGCAACCGAAGCACAGAACUUAAGCCCCAGUAAACGGCGGCCGUAACUAUAACGGUCCUAAGGUAGCGAAAUUCCUUGUCGGGU
Molecule: ribosomal RNA, 1947 nt
Filed under: human oral metagenome
Description: bacterial LSU rRNA
Rfam family: Bacterial large subunit ribosomal RNA
Source: RNAcentral